This 253-nucleotide ribosomal RNA is filed under the name uncultured bacterium. Its description in RNAcentral is "partial 16S ribosomal RNA". It matches the Rfam family "Bacterial small subunit ribosomal RNA", at positions 524 to 776 of the family's 1533-position model. The record is from RNAcentral.
UACGAAGGGGGCUAGCGUUGCUCGGAAUUACUGGGCGUAAAGGGCUCGUAGGUGGCCAACUAAGUCAGACGUGAAAUCCCUCGGCUUAACCGGGGAACUGCGUCUGAUACUGGAUGGCUUGAGUUUGGGAGAGGGAUGCGGAAUUCCAGGUGUAGCGGUGAAAUGCGUAGAUAUCUGGAGGAACACCGGUGGCGAAGGCGGCAUCCUGGACCAAUACUGACACUGAGGAGCGAAAGCCAGGGGAGCAAACGGG